CUGGCCUCCUCCUUCUCCAUCCUCUCCAGAUCUUCAUAGUUCGGGAUCCGUAGAUCCAGCCCCGGGUUGGAAACGAGCAGUUUCAUGUUGAGGCUCCGCUGAAGCAGAGACGUGGAUCCUAUCGCCCAUCCAAGUCAAACAUUUCCUCUGAAUGAAUUUAAAGAGGGCGACUGCUGGGACGACCAAACUGGGGAUUCCAGCCAAGAUGAAGACGAUUACGUAGGUCCAGGAAGGGAUAGUUGAAGGUGUUCAUCAGCUUCAGUAUGUUGCUACAAAAACAGCCCAUGGAGAUGAGUUCAGUUCGUCACAGCUCAUCACAUUCAUCUUUUGGUCUCCGGCCGGCAUGACACUCACUCUCCCAUGCAGUCGUCG
Long non-coding RNA from Betta splendens (Siamese fighting fish), 372 nucleotides. RefSeq lists it as uncharacterized. The transcript is spliced from 3 exons. The record is from RefSeq and is a predicted model, not a curated record. NCBI's taxonomy places the organism in Eukaryota, Metazoa, Chordata, Actinopteri, Anabantiformes, Osphronemidae.